Molecule: long non-coding RNA, 2833 nt
Organism: Oncorhynchus tshawytscha (Chinook salmon)
Lineage: Eukaryota; Metazoa; Chordata; Actinopteri; Salmoniformes; Salmonidae
Source: Ensembl
AGCGCGUGAGUCAAUGACUAUUCAAGCCAUUGACUCACUGAUGAAUGAAGAUGAUGAGCGAUCGUCAAAGGCAAUCUGUAAUCUGCGGGCAUCACGGCUCGUUUCAACCCAAUGAUUCGUCUGACUCGUCUGUGUCACGUUCUGACCUUUAUUUCCUUUGUUUUGUAUUUAGUUAGUAUGGUCAGGGCGUGAGUUGGGGUGGGCAGUCUAUGUUUGAUUUUCUAUGAUUUGGGGAUUUCUAUGUUUCGGCCUAGUAUGGUUCUCAAUCAGAGGCAGGUGUCAUUAGUUGUCUCUGAUUGAGAAUCAUACUUAGGUAGCCUGGGUUGCACUGUUUGUUUGUGGGUGAUUGUCUAUGUUGAUGGCUUGUUUCAGCUCAGCUCACAUUAGCUUCACGGUUGUUAUUUUGUUUACUGUUUUUGUAUAGUGUUUCAGUGUUCAGUGUUUUCUUUAUUCAAAUUCAUGAUGAGCACAUAUCACGCCGCAUUUUGGUCCUCCGAUCCUUCUCGCCUCUCCUCUUCAGAUGAAGAGGAGGACGACCGUGACAGUCUGACAAACAAAGAACUUUGCGUCCAAGCCCAGGUGCAUGGCAACAGCCGGAUAAGAUGAGGAAAAAGAAGGAACACGCACACGGCUCUUGAUCAUAUCACUGAUCUUUAAUAAGCCUUAUGUAUCGGCCUCACGGCCAUCGUCAGAGCUUUUGUGGGUUUUUUAAAUUGGCACCCUUAUGUAGACCAAGUCACAGCCACAUCCAUUCCACACAUCGAAAGGGGUUGGAGGUGAAGGAAAAACAAAUAAGUGCUACCAAAUAUAACAAUAUGCAUUUCAUAAAUAUUAGAAUAAUGUGUGUACAUAAAACAUAUCAAACAUGUCUGCAAAACCACAAUGAGGACAUGACCUACCAAACAAGUUUUCAUGAAUUGGGUACAGUGUAAAAAAACAUCAUAGUAAUCUGAAAUAGGGGCAUAAUUCAUGUUCAAAUUUACAACAUAACAUACAUAGGCAUUUCAUAAUUAAGACCUUUAGGAAAUAAUGUCUGGAGGGUGAAAAUCCGAACCCUGCUUGCUACAAUGAAUGCGUUUGAUUCACCUGGUAUUGGAUACGGCUGAUUAAUGACCUUGCUAAAUAUGUCCAUGGAAGAAUGUUUAUAGAGCUGUUGUCUUCCGAAUAAACUCUUUAAGACCUGGUAAUCUUUUAUAUCAAUAGCAGUCAAUUAUUAAUCGUCACCUUAUUCAGUCUCAUCUGAACGUCGUAAAAUUCUUGGUUGUCUUCACAAACCCUGGCUAACAAGUUGAAUCAGCAUGACAAAAUGUGUUUUAUUUAUUUACUAAAUACCUAAAUAAUCACAAAGAAUUACAUAUACACAGGAUGGAUCAUACAUUGAUGACUAAUUAUGUCAUACAAGAAAGCGUCCCGAAUGGACAGAACCGAUAUGAUGGCUGGUUACACAAAGAAAGGGGGUUGGGUUUGAAUGAAAGCGGAAAAAAAGAAUUUGGUCUCUAUUGGACCUUAUGAAGCUAUGCUAUCGUAAAUACAGAAUCGUAUGCAAUCUAAAUAACUGCCCAUUUGGAAAAGGAAAAUGCAAGAAAUAUUUACUCUGAGCUGCGCUUCGAUAGAUUGGUUGUAGAUGGAAGGCAGGGUUGCCCAACAGAGAUCUCUCUUGUCCUUUGAAGAAUAUGUCUUGUGGUAAAAUGGAUACAUUGUAGUAACCUAUCUUUCUGAUGAUUGUCAGGUCUUUUCCGAGCCCACGUUUACAGCUGCUGCUGCUAACUCGGCGUCUAGGAUGUAUCACUUCUUUAAUGAAUAAGAGUUCAAAGUUCAUACCAAGUUCCCAUACUAUAAGCUCAUGCUAUAUUCUGGCUGGUAUAGUCGAAAUUCAUCCUUCCAGCGUGUCGAUCAUCACCUCCAUGUUGAAAUUCGCCCUUUUAAAUGUAUGGACAUCAGUCCUCACAUCACCGGGAACGCAAUGUUAAUUUUGUUAGGUUGUAGUCUGUCGUAGCUGAAUCAGAAUGAGUUAGUUAACAUUGAUAAAUAAGAUGUUUUAUUUACUUUCAUAAUAUGCUUAUGUGAGAUAGUCACUUGGGGCCCAGAGAGGGGAGAGGUCAGAAUUGUCUUCAUAUGUAAAUGUAUCUGUUAAACUAUGUGAAGGGCUCCACAAUGUCUGUACUCCAGUCACUCCCUCCUUUUCCCAUUGGGGGGGAGGAGUAUGGCAGUGUCUGGAACCAUUGUAUGUCCCCUCUGAUGUUGAAACUUAUCUUGACCUAGUAUAUGACCUAGAGGCUCACUCCCCUCUGUGAGCUUGUCCAGAAGGGGGUGUAUUUGAGAUGGAAGUAUCUAGAAUUGAUAUAUGCCAUUGGAUGAGGUAAUGUUUUGGUACUAUGAAGUACCAAGAACGAGAAGUAGAACCUCGUCUAAGAGACCAAACUGAACGAUAAUUUAUAGCUAAUGCUAUCUGGCUAUGGGAUACUCCUCUCUCAAGUAAAAGGCCCUUUGUGAAGUUCCUAAGAUCUGUGGUUCGUCAUGUGAGUUCAGAGGGGUGGAUCUUAGCUAUAAAAGAUACUAAGUAUUCUUUUGUAAGCACUCUCAGAAUUCAUUUAUAGACACUGAAUUGAUCUGAGAGUCAAAGGGCUAUGGUGAAGCUCAUAUAAUUAAAGAUGGACUUUAAAAUAUAACUCACUUGUGUGUGGUUUGUAAACUCUCCUCAUUUAGUAAUACAGGAAAUUACCACGACAAGUCGUUCAACUAUUCGCAACCAGAGCUCACGCUGAGGUUGGCUUAGUUCUGAAGUUGAUAUUAGCCAUUUAAAACGUAUGGACUGUAGUCCUCACGUCAUCGG